GCUUACUGCCAUACCACCCUGAACACACAUGAUCCCGUCUGAUCGCGGAAGCUAACCAGGUUAGACCUGGGAUGGAAGACCGCCUUGGAAUACCAGGUACUUAAAGCU
This 108-nucleotide ribosomal RNA is filed under the name Cyprinodon variegatus (sheepshead minnow). The record is from RNAcentral. Lineage: Eukaryota; Metazoa; Chordata; Actinopteri; Cyprinodontiformes; Cyprinodontidae.